RNAcentral lists this ribosomal RNA (254 nucleotides) under uncultured bacterium. Its description in RNAcentral is "partial 16S ribosomal RNA". It matches the Rfam family "Bacterial small subunit ribosomal RNA", at positions 524 to 776 of the family's 1533-position model. The record is from RNAcentral.
UACGUAGGGUCCAAGCGUUGUCCGGAUUUAUUGGGCGUAAAGAGCUCGUAGGCGGUUCGGUAAGUCGGAUGUGAAAACUCCGGGCUCAACUCGGAGACGCCACUCGAUACUGCCAUGACUCGAGUCCGGUAGGGGAGUGCGGAAUUCCUGGUGUAGCGGUGAAAUGCGCAGAUAUCAGGAGGAACACCGGUGGCGAAGGCGGCACUCUGGGCCGGUACUGACGCUGAGGAGCGAAAGCGUGGGGAGCGAACAGG